UACGGAGGGUGCAAGCGUUGUUCGGAAUUAUUGGGCGUAAAGAGCGUGUAGGCGGUCCGGUAAGUCAGAUGUGAAAGCCCUGGGCUCAACCCAGGAAGUGCAUUUGAAACUACCAGACUUGAGUACGGGAGAGGAGGGGGGAAUUCCCGGUGUAGAGGUGAAAUUCGUAGAUAUCGGGAGGAAUACCAGUGGCGAAGGCGCCCCUCUGGACCGAUACUGACGCUGAGACGCGAAAGCGUGGGGAGCAAACAGG
Molecule: ribosomal RNA, 253 nt
Filed under: uncultured prokaryote
Description: partial 16S ribosomal RNA
Rfam family: Bacterial small subunit ribosomal RNA
Source: RNAcentral